CAAUGACAACCUUUAUUAUAUGACUAAAUUAAUUACAUUAUCAACUGUUUCUGCUAUAACCAAUGGUUACAAACUGUUCUGAAACAUGUUUUGUCUCGGUAUAACCGCGAAUAUUGUGUGGGGCGAAGAUGACGAAGAUCGCGUGCGAUCUGACCGCGAGGCGCUCGGCCACGCUGGAAGCAAGCGUAUGACGUGGCUCGUUGGGAUGCGUCGGGGCAGUCAAUCAGAGAACGCAUCACCUGCGCUGUGCACGACGGCGAAGCGGGCUACUGGACGACAACACGGCUGCUCCAUACCUUCCCCGAAAAGAUUGUUCGUAGCGGGAAUCCUUCUGGACAAAGUGGGCCACAGCAUGGCGAGGCGGAUGGCAGAACAGCAAGCCGACACCACGGGACGCCAAAUUUGGCUGCCGGAGCAGGGAUUUACGUGCCGCGGCGACGCGAGUUGCUGCAAGGCGGCCACUACGCUGCGUAACAUCCAGGGCAACAUUGGGCUGUUCGGCACCUUGCACGACAUCGUGGACGAGGAGCACGGACACCACGCCUAUGCUGAUGACAUCUUCCUGCAGCCGCAGCUGUCAUCCCUGUCCUCAUCGCUGUUCGAGGACCCAGUGCAAAGUGGACGCCUCGCACAGGAAACCUCUGCGGAGAAGAAACUCCUGGAACGAGUCCGACAUCCCUGCUCCAACAGGCGUCCCUCUUGCUGCUGUGUCAAGCCAUCGACACCGUGCCUUGGACAUCGGCGACUGCCGCGAAGCAGACCGCCGAAGCAAGGAAGAGUCUGCAAUUAAUUUUAAUUUCACUGGCAGCGCUGGCACAUGCUACAAGACUUGGAACCCAGUGUCCCAGCAAGUCAUAGCAAUGGUGGAAAGGACGAUAAUUGCAAAAUAUGUUAAUUUUUCUGCCACUUGCUUGUGCUAGCAUAGAACCAACGGUUUGCAAAAUGUUUGCUCUUUUAAUUACAAUUUUAUGCACCAAAUGAAUAAUUCUGUAAUGAAAACGAUGUCGUACCAUUAAUUGGUAUGUUUAAUAAAACCAGAUUUAGGCGUCGA
Dermacentor albipictus is the source of this 1051-nucleotide long non-coding RNA. RefSeq lists it as uncharacterized. NCBI's taxonomy places the organism in Eukaryota, Metazoa, Arthropoda, Arachnida, Ixodida, Ixodidae. The record is from RefSeq and is a predicted model, not a curated record.